This 158-nucleotide ribosomal RNA is filed under the name uncultured Clostridium sp. RNAcentral describes it as "partial 16S ribosomal RNA". It matches the Rfam family "Bacterial small subunit ribosomal RNA", at positions 332 to 507 of the family's 1533-position model. The record is from RNAcentral. Lineage: Bacteria; Bacillati; Bacillota; Clostridia; Eubacteriales; Clostridiaceae.
AGUGAUCCUACGGGAGGCAGCAGUGGGGAAUAUUGCACAAUGGGCGAAAGCCUGAUGCAGCAACGCCGCGUGAGCGAUGAAGGCCUUCGGGUCGUAAAGCUCUGUCCUCAAGGAAGAUAAUGACGGUACUUGAGGAGGAAGCCCCGGCUAACUACGUG